GGUAAUCACUCUUGGGAUUUUUUAGGGUUUCUUCUCAGAUUUUCGCCUCCAGCUCUCUGUUGUUCUCUAGGGUUUUUUCGUCCCUUACUGAUUUCUCCCUUUUUAUAAUCCCAUUGCUAGGGUUUGGAUGAGAUCAAAAGAGUAUGGAAUUGGAAGUGCUUUCUUUUUUGUGCUGCUCUGUUGUCUAUCCCAUUUUGGUGUUUGCUCUGAAAAAGUGAAUUUUCUUGCAACUUUGAGGCUUCUGUUAACAACACUCAACCUUGCAAGAGUAGCUUGUUUCUCCAUGUGAAAACUUCACUGUUGGACAUGGUUGUUGGUGAU
Long non-coding RNA from Lathyrus oleraceus (garden pea), 321 nucleotides. RefSeq lists it as uncharacterized. NCBI's taxonomy places the organism in Eukaryota, Viridiplantae, Streptophyta, Magnoliopsida, Fabales, Fabaceae. The transcript has 3 exons. The record is from RefSeq and is a predicted model, not a curated record.